UACAGCCAUAUCACAUUUAAGCACAGGUUCUCGUCCGAUUACAGAAGUUAAGCAACAUCGUGUCUUUUCAGUACCUAGAUGGGUGACCACAUGGGAAUAUCAGGUGCUGUAAU
Molecule: non-coding RNA, 113 nt
Organism: Acanthosepion pharaonis
Lineage: Eukaryota; Metazoa; Mollusca; Cephalopoda; Sepiida; Sepiidae
Source: the annotation of a GenBank genome assembly